RNAcentral lists this ribosomal RNA (465 nucleotides) under uncultured Methanolinea sp. RNAcentral describes it as "bacterial SSU rRNA". It matches the Rfam family "Archaeal small subunit ribosomal RNA", at positions 875 to 1338 of the family's 1478-position model. Lineage: Archaea; Methanobacteriati; Methanobacteriota; Methanomicrobia; Methanomicrobiales; Methanoregulaceae. The record is from RNAcentral.
AGCACCACAACGGGUGGAGCCUGGUCGGUUUAAUUGGACUCAACGCCGGGAAGCUUACCGGAUAAGACAGCGGAAUGAUUGCCGGGCUGAAGACUCUGCAUGACCAGCUGAGAGGAGGUGCAUGGCCGUCGUCAGUUCGUACUGUGAAGCAUCCUGUUAAGUCAGGCAACGAGCGAGACCCACGCCCACAGUUGCCAGCGUACUCUCCGGAGUGACGGGUACACUGUGGGACCGCCGCUGCUAAAGCGGAGGAAGGAAUGGGCAACGGUAGGUCAGUAUGCCCCGAAUAUCCCGGGCUACACGCGAGCUACAAUGGUUGGUACAAUGGGUAUCUACCCCGAAAGGGGACGGGAAUCUCCCAAAACCAAUCUUAGUUCGGAUUGAGGGCUGCAACUCGCCCUCAUGAAGCUGGAAUCCGUAGUAAUCGCGUUUCAACAGAACGCGGUGAAUACGUCCCUGCUCCUU